Molecule: long non-coding RNA, 469 nt
Filed under: Bos taurus (domestic cattle)
Lineage: Eukaryota; Metazoa; Chordata; Mammalia; Artiodactyla; Bovidae
Description: long non-coding RNA NONBTAT022407
Source: RNAcentral
UGACCCGGAAACCUCCUAUACCUAGGUCUGCUUCUGGUGUUUGGGCACAUAGGCUAGUGGAAAGAUAUUUUGAAAGUAACACAAGUGUAGAUAAAUUGAGCAACAUGUUCCACUUCAUUUUAAAGUGACAUGGCUAUUAUCAACUUGUUUCAUUUCUGGGAACUAGAAGGUUUUCAUUUACAAGGCAAAAUCAUUAACAGAGGUAUUUCCCAUGUAUGACUGGAGUUGAUCCCUGUUGUAGCUUUAUUCUGCUUUUGACAUGUUUAUUAUUGUGAUAGUAAAAGUCAAGAAAUGCAGAAGCCUUGAAUGCAGACAGGCCAAAAUUAACUUCUAAUAUAGUCAGCUGAAAGAAACUGACCUCUGAGCCACUAUAAUCGUCAGAUGUAGAUAUUACCCAAGAAAGUAAACUUUGAAAGAUUUAAUGUCCUUAGAUGUCUCAUUGCAUUUUUUUCUGUGAUCCAAUCUUCUU